AAUGUUUGACGCCAUUAACUUUUUUAAACAUGUUUGACCGUUCGUCUUAUUCAAAAAAUUUAAGUAAUUCUUAAUUCUUUUCCUAUCAUUUGAUUCAUUAUUAAAUAUAUUUUUAUGUAGGCAUAUAAUUUUACAUAUUUCACAAAACUUUUUGAAUAAGACGAACGGUCAAACAUGUGCUAAAAAGUCAACGGUGUCAAACAUU
Oryza sativa Indica Group (long-grained rice) is the source of this 205-nucleotide microRNA precursor. It matches the Rfam family "MIR812 microRNA precursor family". The record is from Rfam. Lineage: Eukaryota; Viridiplantae; Streptophyta; Magnoliopsida; Poales; Poaceae.